Molecule: ribosomal RNA, 252 nt
Filed under: uncultured bacterium
Lineage: Bacteria
Description: partial 16S ribosomal RNA
Rfam family: Bacterial small subunit ribosomal RNA
Source: RNAcentral
UACGUAGGGUGCGAGCGUUGUCCGGAAUUAUUGGGCGUAAAGGGCUCGUAGGCGGUCUGUUGCGUCGGGAGUGAAAACUCAGGGCUUAACCCUGAGCUGCUCCGAAGUACGGCAGACUAGAGGUAUGCAGGGGAGAACGGAAUUCCCGGUGUAGCAGUGAAAUGCGUAGAGAUCGGGAGGAACAUCAGUUGCGAAGGCGGCUCUCUGGACCAGCACUGACACUGAGGCACGAAAGCGUGGGAGCAAACAGGG